UUAACCUAAGUAUAUUGAUCAUAAGGAAUCACAUUAGCAAGGACUCGAAAGCGGAAGGUUAACGGGUCAAGCAGAGGCGAGGAAACAAGCGUGAACACUAACGCUCGAGAAGUAGUAAUGCAUGCGCGAAUGUGGAUAUGGGGUUGGUAUAGAAGAAGGUGUUACACGGACUUCUUCUGUUGCUAUGGAAGUGAAGCGGACGUAGAUCGAGUC
RNAcentral lists this long non-coding RNA (213 nucleotides) under Helianthus annuus (common sunflower). RNAcentral describes it as "sRNA HanXRQr2_Chr14g0662361". The record is from RNAcentral. Lineage: Eukaryota; Viridiplantae; Streptophyta; Magnoliopsida; Asterales; Asteraceae.